Molecule: ribosomal RNA, 2302 nt
Filed under: human metagenome
Description: bacterial LSU rRNA
Rfam family: Bacterial large subunit ribosomal RNA
Source: RNAcentral
GGAUGCCUUGGCGAUAUCAGCCGAAGAAGGACGCGGUAAGCUGCGAUAAGCUACGGAGAGGUGCAAGCAACCUUUGACCCGUAGAUUUCCGAAUGGGGGAACCCGGCAGUGGUUAUGCACUGUCACCCAUAGCUUAGACUAUGAGGAGGGCACCUGGGGAACUGAAACAUCUAAUUACCCAGAGGAAAAGUAAUCAAACGAGAUUUUCUUAGUAGCGGCGAGCGAACGGGAAAGAGGCCAAACCGGAGCGGGCAACCGCACCGGGGUUGAGGACAGUCAUCAAGUGUAAAUGAGGUAGAAGAAUCGAGUUGGAAAGCUCAGCCGAAGAAGGUGAAAGCCCUGUAAUCGAAACCUUGCAUACAUGGGACUGUAUCCAGAGUACCACGAGACACGUGAAACCUUGUGGGAAGCAGGGGGGACCACCCUCCAAGCCAAAAUACUGAUAUCGACCGAUAGCGCAUAGUACCGUGAGGGAAAGGUGAAAAGAACCCCUGGCGGGGAGUGAAAGAGAACCUGAAACCGUAUGUCUACAAACAGUCGAAGUCUGUAUAUAUAUCAGGACGACGGCGUGCCUAUUGAAGAAUGAACCGACGAGUUACUGUUGCUAGCGAGGUUAAGUGGAAAACAUGGAGCCGCAGCGAAAGCGAGUCUGAACAGGGCGUUCAGUUAGUAAUAGUAGACCCGAAACCGUAGUGAUCUAUCCAUGGCCAGGUUGAAGCACAGGUAAAAUUGUGUGGAGGACCGAACUCGUGAGCGUUGAAAAGCUUUGGGAUGAGUUGUGGAUAGGGGUGAAAUGCCAAUCGAACACGGAGAUAGCUGGUUCUCCCCGAAAUAGCUUUAGGGCUAGCCUCGAGGUUGAGAGUAUAGGCGGUAGAGCACUGAUCGGGCUAGGGGCCAUACCGGUUACCGAACCUAGUCAAACUACGAAUGGCUAUACUUAUACUCGGGAGUCAGACAGUGAAUGAUAAGGUCCAUUGUCAAGAGGGAAACAGCCCAGAACACCGACUAAGGUCCCAAAUGUUACACUAAGUGGCGAAGGAUGUGGAGUUUCCAAAACAACCAGGAUGUUGGCUUAGAAGCAGCCACCAUUUAAAGAGUGCGUAAUAGCUCACUGGUCGAGAGACUCUGCGCCGAAAAUGUCCGGGGCUAAAGUGUAAAACCGAAGUCGUGUCAUAUGCAGCAAUGUAUAUGGGUAGGGGAGCGUUCUCAUCGGGCUGAAGCAGUACCGUAAGGAGUUGUGGACUGAUGAGAAGUGAGAAUGUCGGUAUGAGUAGCGAAAAGAAUGGUGAGAAUCCAUUCCACCGAAAGCCUAAGGGUUCCUGAGCAACGAUCGUCGUCUCAGGGUAAGUCGGGACCUAAGCCGAGGCGGAAAAGCGUAGGCGAUGGACAACAGGUUGAAAUUCCUGUACCGGUGUGAAUCGUUUGAUCGAUGGAGUGACACAGUAAGGUAGGUCAGCACGCGAUUGGAAGUGCGUGUUUAAGCAUGUAGGUUGAGCUAUAGGCAAAUCCGUAGCUCUAAAAGCUGAGAUGUGAUGACGAGUUACUAGCGAUAGUAACGAAGUGAUUGAUCCUACACUGUCGAGAAAAGCUUCUAGGUAGAGACACAUCGCCCGUACCAAAACCGACACAGGUAGGCGGGGAGAGAAUCCUAAGGUGCGCGGGAAAACCCUCGUUAAGGAACUCGGCAAAAUGCCUCCGUAACUUCGGGAAAAGGAGGACUCAUGUAGUGUGAAGAGCAGCAACGCUUGGAGCAUGAAUGAGUGGCACAAGAGAGGCGCAAGCGACUGUUUACCACAAACACAGGUGCCUGCUAAAGCGAAAGCUGACGUAUAGGUGCUGACACCUGCCCGGUGCUGGAAGGUUAAGAGGAGGGGUUAGACUUCGGUCGAAGCUCUGAAUUGAAGCCCCAGUAAACGGCGGCCGUAACUAUAACGGUCCUAAGGUAGCGAAAUUCCUUGUCGGGUAAGUUCCGACCCGCACGAAAGGUGUAACGAUUUGGGCACUGUCUCAACGAGGGACCCGGUGAAAUUGAAGUACCUGUGAAGAUGCAGGUUACCCGCGACUGGACAGAAAGACCCCAUGGAGCUUUACUGCAACCUAAGAUUGAACUUAGUUAAUGAAUGUACAGGAUAGGUGGGAGACGUAGAACCUAGGACGCCAGUUUUAGGGGAGUCACUGUUGGGAUACCACCCUUUCAUUAAUUGAUUUCUAACGGGCCGAGUAACGACCGGCCGGACAGUCUUAGGCGGGCAGUUUGACUGGGGCGGUCGCCUCCUAAAGAGUAACGGAGGCGCCCAAAGGU